Molecule: ribosomal RNA, 439 nt
Filed under: uncultured bacterium
Lineage: Bacteria
Description: bacterial SSU rRNA
Rfam family: Bacterial small subunit ribosomal RNA
Source: RNAcentral
CUACGGGAGGCAGCAGUGGGGAAUAUUGCACAAUGGAGGAAACUCUGAUGCAGCGACGCCGCGUGAGGGAAGAAGGUCUUCGGAUUGUAAACCUCUGUCUUCAGGGACGAUAAUGACGGUACCUGAGGAGGAAGCACCGGCUAACUACGUGCCAGCAGCCGCGGUAAAACGUAGGGUGCAAGCGUUGUCCGGAAUUACUGGGUGUAAAGGGAGCGCAGGCGGGAAGGUAAGUUGGAUGUUUAAUCUACGGGCUCAACCCGUAUCAGCAUUCAAAACUAUUUUUCUUGAGUGGUGCAGAGGUAGGCGGAAUUCCCGGUGUAGCGGUGGAAUGCGUAGAUAUCGGGAGGAACACCAGUGGCGAAGGCGGCCUGCUGGGCACUAACUGACGCUGAGGCUCGAAAGCAUGGGUAGCAAACAGGAUUAGAAACCCGGGUAGUCC